Molecule: ribosomal RNA, 176 nt
Filed under: Ectopseudomonas mendocina
Lineage: Bacteria; Pseudomonadati; Pseudomonadota; Gammaproteobacteria; Pseudomonadales; Pseudomonadaceae
Description: Pseudomonas mendocina partial 23S ribosomal RNA
Rfam family: Bacterial large subunit ribosomal RNA
Source: RNAcentral
CGGUGAACGGAUGUAAGCGGGAAACUUGCCUCAGGAGGAGAUCUCACUUGAGCCUUGAGCUCCCGGAAGGGCCGUCGAAGACUACGACGUUGAUAGGUGGGUGGUGUAAGCGCUGUGAGGCGUUGAGCUAACCCAUACUAAUUGCCCGUGAGGCUUGGCCAUAUAACACCCAAACA